UAUGUUCUGUAAGUAACACGAGCUGCACUACAAGAAUAUGAGAAUUUAGGGGACUUCCUUGCAACCACUGCCAUGCUACUUUCCCUUGUUCUAGUGCAAAGGACAAUGAUAAAAGUAGUUUAUGUUUUAGUUUGAGACAAUGAACAUCAUAUAAUCAUCAUAUUAAUCAACUUUUGGAAGCAUUUCCAGCAAUACAUUCAGAUCAUAACUCUAACAUGGCUGCAAUUGAUGAAGCAGUUUUGCACGCUGUUCCUAUAAGUAUGUGGUUCUCAUUAGCUUCUGCAUGCAAUUAAGGGAAUAAAGUUCAGUUUACAAGACCUGCAGCUGCAUGAUGGGCUUUGCUAAGCUUUGCAAGCUAUAUAUAUGAGGCAUAUGACAGGAAAUUAGUUUCUCUUGCCUGAUAGGCUUCAAUGUUCAACUGAGAACCAAAAUAAUGGUAGAACCAUAUGUGUAAUUCUUAUUGCUGGCUGCUUCCUCUUUUGGUGGAAGAAGUCAAGACAUAGUCCAUACCUGAGGGUAAUAUAUAAAAGUAUCUUCUUGGUUUGUGAUAACAUCCAUAGUCCAUACCUGAGAGUAAAAGUAGUCAUCAGCCUCAUGAUCAUUGAUUU
Molecule: long non-coding RNA, 608 nt
Filed under: Fragaria vesca (wild strawberry)
Lineage: Eukaryota; Viridiplantae; Streptophyta; Magnoliopsida; Rosales; Rosaceae
Description: long non-coding RNA (FVES_LNC001862)
Source: RNAcentral